GGAAGUAAAAGUCUAACAAGGUCUCCGUUGGUGAACCAGCGGAGGGAUCAUUACCGAGUUAUCAACUCCCAAACCCCUGUGAACAUACCCAACGUUGCUUCGGCGGGACCGCCCCGGCGCCCUCGGCGUCCCGGAACCAGGCGCCCGCCGGAGGACCCAAACUCUUGUUUAAACCAUAGUGGCAUAUUCUGAGUCUCACAAGAAAAAUGAAUCAAAACUUUCAACAACGGAUCUCUUGGCUCUG
RNAcentral lists this unclassified non-coding RNA (244 nucleotides) under plant metagenome. RNAcentral describes it as "partial contains small subunit ribosomal RNA, internal transcribed spacer 1, and 5.8S ribosomal RNA". The stretch from base 1 to 53 matches the Rfam family "Eukaryotic small subunit ribosomal RNA", at positions 1778 to 1831 of the family's 1831-position model. The record is from RNAcentral.